Molecule: ribosomal RNA, 497 nt
Filed under: uncultured bacterium
Lineage: Bacteria
Description: partial 16S ribosomal RNA
Rfam family: Bacterial small subunit ribosomal RNA
Source: RNAcentral
AUUGAACGCUGGCGGCAUGCCUUACACAUGCAAGUCGAACGGUAACAGGUCUUCGGAUGCUGACGAGUGGCGAACGGGUGAGUAAUACAUCGGAACGUGCCUAGUAGUGGGGGAUAACUACUCGAAAGAGUGGCUAAUACCGCAUGAGAUCUAUGGAUGAAAGCAGGGGAUCGCAAGACCUUGUGCUACUAGAGCGGCCGAUGGCAGAUUAGGUAGUUGGUGGGAUAAAAGCUUACAAGCCGACGAUCUGUAGCUGGUCUGAGAGGACGAUCAGCCACACUGGGACGGAGACCCGGCCCAGACUCCUACGGGAGGCAGCAGUGGGGAAUUUUGGACAAUGGGCGAAAGCCUGAUCCAGCAAUGCCGCGUGCAGGAUGAAGGCCUUCGGGUUGUAAACUGCUUUUGUACGGAACGAAAAGCCCCGGGUUAAUACCCUGGGGUCAUGACGGUACCGUAAGAAUAAGCACCGGCUAACUACGUGCCAGCCGCCGCAGUAA